This 406-nucleotide ribosomal RNA is filed under the name uncultured bacterium. RNAcentral's name for it is "partial 16S ribosomal RNA". It matches the Rfam family "Bacterial small subunit ribosomal RNA", at positions 30 to 526 of the family's 1533-position model. The record is from RNAcentral.
AUUGAACGCUGGCGGCAGGCUUAACACAUGCAAGUCGAGCGAGCGGCGGACGUGUGAGUAAUGUCUGGGAAACUGCCUGAUGGCGGGGGAUAACUACUGGAACCGGUAGCUAAUACCGCAUACCAUCAGAUGUGCCCAGAUGGGAUUAGCUAGUAGGUGGGGUAAUGGCUCACCUAGGCGACGAUCCCUAGCUGGUCUUAGAGGUUGACCAGCCACACUGGAAAUGAGACACGGUCCAGCCUCCUACGGGAGGCAGCAGUGGGGAAUAUUGCAAGAGGGGCGCAAGCCUGAUUCAGCCAUUCCGCGUGUGUUAAGAAGGCCUUCGGGUUGUAAAGCACUUUCAGCGAGGAGGCGUUACUCGCAGAAGAAGCACCGGCUAACUCCGUGCCAGCCGCCGCGGUAAUUC